AAAUAGAUACCCGGGUAGUCCACGCCGUAAACGAUGAGUGCUAAGUGUUAGGGGGUUUCCGCCCCUUAGUGCUGCAGCUAACGCAUUAAGCACUCCGCCUGGGGAGUACGGUCGCAAGACUGAAACUCAAAGGAAUUGACGGGGGCCCGCACAAGCGGUGGAGCAUGUGGUUUAAUUCGAAGCAACGCGAAGAACCUUACCAGGUCUUGACAUCCCAUUGACCGCUACGGAGACAUAGUUUUCCCUUCGGGGACAGUGGUGACAGGUGGUGCAUGGUUGUCGUCAGCUCGUGUCGUGAGAUGUUGGGUUAAGUCCCGCAACGAGCGCAACCCUUGCUCUUAGUUGCCAUCAUUUAGUUGGGCACUCUAAGGAGACUGCCGGUGACAAACCGGAGGAAGGUGGGGAUGACGUCAAAUCAUCAUGCCCCUUAUGACCUGGGCUACACACGUGCUACAAUGGACGGUACAAACGGUUGCCAACCCGCGAGGGGGAGCUAAUCCGAUAAAACCGUCCUCAGUUCGGAUUGUAGGCUGCAACUCGCCUACA
This 546-nucleotide ribosomal RNA is filed under the name uncultured bacterium. RNAcentral describes it as "bacterial SSU rRNA". It matches the Rfam family "Bacterial small subunit ribosomal RNA", at positions 776 to 1320 of the family's 1533-position model. The record is from RNAcentral.